GAGUGUCAGAGAGAGGGAGAGACAGAUAGAGAUCUUUUGUCUACUACUCACUCCCCAAAUACCUGCAACAGCCAGGGGCGGGCCACGCUGAAGCCAAGAGUGGGGAACUCCAUCUGAGUCUGCCACGUGGGUGGCAGAGACUCAAGUGCCUGCACCAUCAUCUGCUGCCUCCCAGGAUGUGCAUCAGCAGGAAUCUGGCUGAGAAAUGGAGCUGGCUGAGGGAGAGACUCUUUUCCAGGUGGAAGAUGAUGUGAAGGGACAGAGGGAAGGUGAGCAAACCAUCAGGAGAAAAUUAUUAUUUACCGCUUUGAAGAAAACAUUUUGAAGUCAGGAAGCAUCAGCAAUGUGAGUGUGUAGGACCGUAUGAAAGUUUGUGAAGACUUUCUGUGCAAUUCCAGUGGCCUAAAAUGGCUGAUCACAGGUGCACCCUGUAGCCACCCCAUGCCUCACUGGAUUGAGCAGUAAAAUUAGACUCCAGUUACCACCCAUAACGGUCAGUCUUUGUUUAGUACUAGGAGCUAGGUCUUUGCAGCCAUCAGCUCAUUUAAUCCUUACAGCAAAACUAGAGAAGUAUUUUGUUACUAUGAUUGCUAUUUUACUGGUGAGAAUAUCGAAGCCCAGAAAGAUUAAGCAAUUUACUUAGUGUUGCACAGCUACAACAAAACAGAGAGCUGGAAUCUUAGCCCAGCCAUAGGGUUGUGUGAAGAAAGAAGGCAGAUAACUACCACUACUGAGUGUUGAGUAUGUGUCUGGUCCUGUGUGCUUCAGUGUGUUCCAUUUCAUUGUCAUGACCCUGUCAGCUUAUCUUCCAGGCCAAGAAACCAAGACUCGGCUAGGAUUGGGGAAUUUUCCCAAGGUUAUGGAUGCCUGUCCGACUCCAAAGUCUAUACAAACUAGUAACUCAUUAAACCCUUUAAACUACCAAGUGGGGUACUGGUCUUCCUUCUUCAUUAAUUACCUUUCCUGUCCUGAAUUCUUUCCCUCUGAUAUUUUUCUCUCAUUCUUUGUGCGUUUAUGAUACACAGCUCAGUAAUGUGCAUUUUAUAAAAACUUAGUGACAUCUUCAGAGCCCAGACCAUGAGUUGGGCGUUGUGCUAAGCUGUUUUCCAGGAAUUAUCUUAUGUACCCCUCCCAGCAGCCCAGUGUCAUAGGUAUGAUUAUUAAUCCUUUUCCUUUUUUAGCCUACGGAGUGACUGGAGUUGCAGAGACCCUCUUGGCAGUACUUGGGUGAAGAGUCUGCUGACUGAAUUCCCCAGAGACAGAAUAGACCAUCUGAUAGCCUCGUCACCUUCCCCUACACUGAGAACGAAUGAACCCAGAAGCCGGAUUCUUUUAAUUGUUGUACAUUACACAAGACGCGCAAUCCUAUUUUAAAAGAGGUUUCUUUCGGGAAGCAGGGUGGUUUGGAGUUGUCUUCUUUGUGGUGUGCUUCUUGAAAAGAUCUGGGAGGCUAAUCUGGUUAAUUCUGGACGCUUCCUCCUGCCCUCGCUUUCUCUCGCUCAGUCUUCCGGUCUCAGCACAGGCACCGUGAGUGUGUGUGGAGCGAAGGGACGACAGGGUGUCGGGCUCUGGGAAACUCAUUUGCAUACUUGUUGUUGCAGGGCUGACCGCAUCCUGGUGAAGACAAUGUGCUGUCUGAUAAACAGACUGCCUGCCCCAGUGUCUGUCUGGAGUGGGGCCAGCGUGCGGCCCGCCUUUGUCACAAGGUGCUGUUUAUCCUGCCUGGAAGUCCAGGGACGGGACAAACCAGCUAGCUGAAGCUUUUAUUUCUCCCGUUCUCUGGCAGGAAUUCCUCAGGUCAAAAACAUGUGUUCAUAGUAGAUUAAGGGUGGGAAGCAUCAGAAUUCUCCAAAGCAGCUCGCCUCACCCCGCGGAACGCGCCUUGUGCUGUUUUUAUCUUCCUCUGGAGCUGUGAAUUCCUCGGGCUUCGGAGAAAUGAGGAAACUUGGAAAAUGUAGUGCAUGAGCAAUAGAAAGAGUCAGGCUUGCCAAGACCUUCCGUUGAUAAGUAUUUAUUUCCACAUCUGUUUUCUGUGUCCCCUUUCUCUUUUCCUUCUCCCUCCUCACCCCACACCCACAGACAAAAAUGGAGGCUUACACAAUUAACUGGGGACUGAAGGGCUUGCUGUUUAAGGAUCUGGAUAACUGAGUCCCAGUUUCUCCAUUCUCACUACAAUUUGGUAAAUCAAAGACAAGAGGCAGAAAGAUUUUGUGGGUCGGUUUCAUUUAUGACCAUUUAGGUAAGAAUUUCGUCUCUGCUUCCUUUUUAUUGUUGUUUUUUUUUCUAGGACUCCCCUCAAGACAGAGCUCUGCUGAAAGAUUUUCCAGUCUAAUAUGGUCCAUAUUCUAAGACCUAUUCUAACCAUAGAUUGUUUUCUUUUUUGGUUGCUGUAAUCACCAUGCAGAAGUUACUCUGUGACCAAGAAAUUGUUUUACUAUUUUUAAUCAAUAAUUCCUAUGAACAGAUUUUGUCGCUAGGGGAGAGAAAAUGUGCCACUGUUUCCUUCCUGCAUUGGCAGAGACCUCCGAAGUCUGUUUUGGCCACUCGUGUGUCUGACCCCACCUGAGUCGUGAAGAUAUUCAAUGCAGUCCUGACUGGAGUCCUACUUGGAGGAUGAUGAUAAAGGAGGAUGCUCCAGGACAGUUUGGAAAAGAUGCCCAUCAGCGUUUUGAAGGAUUACCAGCAUUUCUGUUAGAGACUGUGAACAGAUUUCUGCCUGCUAAAGAGCAAUAAUAUGGUAGAGAUGGAUUAUUUUGAGGUUUGGAAGUAAAAUACUUGCAUGUGGCAAAUACUGGGGUUUGUUGUGAAAAUUAGACCUCUGUAGACUCCCUGAGAAUGGCCUAUGCAGGAAACAGGUACCCCCUGCUCACAGCUGCUGCUGUGGAGCCCAAGUCCUAUACCAGCCUUGGUAAAUUCCAAGUCUUGAGGACUAGUAUGUGUGUUGUCAAAAAGGGAAAAAAAAUAUUCAUUAAAGUUGAGUGGUCUUUCCCAAUCGGGAAAAGCUGGCAUUACCUGGCAGAUGGUGGAGGCGCAGCUGGAGGAGAAGGACUGAAUCAAGCUGGUGGUGGUUAUGGGUCUUGUCCCCAAGCCAGGGUUUGUGCUAGAGCUUAAUCUCAUGACCGCGUUUGUUAGGGUAUGAUUCUAGCAGCACGUUUCUUCACGUGCUCUAGAAGAGCAGAUGUAAGGAGCCUGCCCCCGUCGGAUUAUGUUCACCCUGCUUCUCCAGUCUCUCACCUUCCACUGUCCUCUGCCCUAGUGCAUUUUGAUGAAACGUGUCACACACGCUCUUUUCUAAUCUGGUAUUUAAAAGAAGUAGAGCGGGGAUGGCAAUUAGCCUAGCAGUCAACACACCUGUGUCCCACAUCAGAGUACUUGUGUUUGGUGCCUAGCAGGUGUUUGGCUCCUGUUUCCAGUGUCCUGCUAAUGCACAUUCUGGGAGGUAGUGGUGAUUGUGCAGGUAGCUGGGUUUCCACCGUCCUUCUGGGAAACCUGGAUUGAGCUCCUGGCUCCUGGCUGUGUCCUGGGCCGAGCUCUGCUUUCCCAGGAAACCCCAGCUAUCUCUUGAUUAUCUAAGAGAUUUCAGCCUGGCUAGUUCUUGGUGAUUUCACAACUCCUAAGGGUCGCCCCUAGUGGGUGGAAAAGGGUAGUCAAAGCUGAAACCCAAACCAGUGUAUUUUGCCAUCUGGUUAGAGUUUUGGCAAAUAACUGGAUCAGAGAAGGGAGCUGAAGUUGUACAGUUUCCAUAGUUUCCAAGUUGGGGUGUUUGGAGAUAGGAGGUGCUAGGGUGUGUCUUCAGACCCAGGGCUUGUCUCUGUCAUUAGAGACAGUGACAGGAAAGCCAUAGAUCUUUCCUAUAUUGGAAAAAAAAUGGCUGAUCAGACUUACAGAUGUGUUUAUUUCUGGAAUACCAUGGGUGGUAUCUAUCUGCCCACCACCCAUGUGUCUCUAUAAGGCAGAAGGUGGUGUUAGGGUUGCUUUCAUCCCAAGCUCUUUGACAUCAGGACAACAAAUGUAUGCGGUUUCAGUUUGUCAUUCUAUUUUAACUGCAUUUUUUUCCUUCCUCCUUUUUUAUGGGGUAGUUUAAGGUUUAGAUUUUCUUUUUACCACUGAGUCUAACUUAAUUGUGGUUAUUUUAUUUUAUUUUUUUGUGUAAGUGCCCAGAGCUUUCUGGGUUAUUGGUAAACUUAAAAAAAUAUACCACAGUGCAUGUAAACAUAUAUAAUUUAAGAACCAGUAAUGACUGGGGCCUGUGAUAACCUUUGGAAAAUUCUUACUUGGAAGCAGUUCUAAUUAGCAAGAUAUUUUCUGGUUUCCUCCUUGCAUGCUCUGUUAAUAACAACGAUGUUAGUUGGAGAAAA
This is a non-coding RNA of Oryctolagus cuniculus (rabbit), 4358 nucleotides long. The record is from RefSeq and is a predicted model, not a curated record. NCBI's taxonomy places the organism in Eukaryota, Metazoa, Chordata, Mammalia, Lagomorpha, Leporidae.